Molecule: ribosomal RNA, 256 nt
Filed under: uncultured Actinomycetales bacterium
Lineage: Bacteria; Bacillati; Actinomycetota; Actinomycetes; Actinomycetales
Description: partial 16S ribosomal RNA
Rfam family: Bacterial small subunit ribosomal RNA
Source: RNAcentral
CUUUUGUGGGGUGCUCGAGUGGCGAACGGGUGAGUAACACGUGAGUAACCUGCCCUUGACUUUGGGAUAACUUCAGGAAACUGGGGCUAAUACCGGAUAGGAGCUCCUGCUGCAUGGUGGGGGUUGGAAAGUUUCGGCGGUUGGGGAUGGACUCGCGGCUUACCAGCUUGUUGGUGGGGUAGUGGCUUACCAAGGCUUUGACGGGUAGCCGGCCUGAGAGGGUGACCGGCCACAUUGGGACUGAGAUACGGCCCAG